CAGCAGCCGCGGUAAAACGUAGGUCCCGAGCGUUGUCCGGAUUUAUUGGGCGUAAAGCGAGCGCAGGCGGUUAGAUAAGUCUGAAGUUAAAGGCUGUGGCUUAACCAUAGUACGCUUUGGAAACUGUUUAACUUGAGUGCAGAAGGGGAGAGUGGAAUUCCAUGUGUAGCGGUGAAAUGCGUAGAUAUAUGGAGGAACACCGGUGGCGAAAGCGGCUCUCUGGUCUGUAACUGACGCUGAGGCGCGAAAGCGUGGGGAGCAAACAGGAUUAGAUACCCCCGUAGUCCCUGUCUCUUAUACA
RNAcentral lists this ribosomal RNA (301 nucleotides) under uncultured bacterium. RNAcentral's name for it is "partial 16S ribosomal RNA". It matches the Rfam family "Bacterial small subunit ribosomal RNA", at positions 509 to 808 of the family's 1533-position model. The record is from RNAcentral.